CCUACGGGAGGCAGCAGUGGGGAAUUUUGGACAAUGGGGGCAACCCUGAUCCAGCAAUGCCGCGUGAGUGAAGAAGGCCCUCGGGUUGUAAAGCUCUUUUGUCAGGGAAGAAACGGUGGUUCCUAAUACGAGCUGCUAAUGACGGUACCUGAAGAAUAAGCACCGGCUAACUACGUGCCAGCAGCCGCGGUAAUACGUAGGGUGCAAGCGUUAAUCGGAAUUACUGGGCGUAAAGCGUGCGCAGGCGGUUAUAUAAGACAGAGGUGAAAUCCCCGGGCUCAACCUGGGAACUGCCUUUGUGACUGUAUGGCUAGAGUGUGUCAGAGGGGGGUAGAAUUCCACGUGUAGCAGUGAAAUGCGUAGAUAUGUGGAGGAAUACCGAUGGCGAAGGCAGCCCCCUGGGAUAACACUGACGCUCAUGCACGAAAGCGUGGGGAGCAAACAGGAUUAGAUACCCUGGUAGUCCACGCCCUAAACGAUGUCUACUAGUUGUCGGGACUUAAUUGUCUUGGUAACGCAGCUAACGCGUGAAGUAGACCGCCUGGGGAGUACGGUCGCAAGAUUAAAACUCAAAUGAAAUUGACGG
RNAcentral lists this ribosomal RNA (586 nucleotides) under uncultured bacterium. RNAcentral describes it as "bacterial SSU rRNA". It matches the Rfam family "Bacterial small subunit ribosomal RNA", at positions 338 to 916 of the family's 1533-position model. The record is from RNAcentral.